GUACUCGAGUGGCGAACGGGUGAGUAACACGUGGGUGAUCUGCCCUGUACUUUGGGAUAAGCCUGGGAAACUGGGUCUAAUACCGAAUAUGACCACUUCUUGGAUGGGGCGGUGGAAAGCUUUUGCGGUAUGGGAUGAGCUCGCGGCCUAUCAGCUUGUUGGUGGGGUAAUGGCCUACCAAGGCGUCGACGGGUAGCCGGCCUGAGAGGGUGUACGGCCACAUUGGGACUGAGAUACGGCCCAGACUCCUACGGGAGGCAGCAGUGGGGAAUAUUGCACAAUGGGCGCAAGCCUGAUGCAGCGACGCCGCGUGGGGGAUGACGGCCUUCGGGUUGUAAACUCCUUUCGCAACCGACGAAGCUUUUGUGACGGUAGGUUGAGAAGAAGCACCGGCUAACUACGUGCCAGCAGCCGCGGUAAUACGUAGGGUGCGAGCGUUGUCCGGAAUUACUGGGCGUAAAGAGCUCGUAGGUGGUUUGUCGCGUCGUUUGUGGAAUACCGCAGCUUAACUGCGGGGUUGCAGGCGAUACGGGCAUAACUUGAGUGCUGUAGGGGAGACUGGAAUUCCUGGUGUAGCGGUGGAAUGCGCAGAUAUCAGGAGGAACACCGAUGGCGAAGG
Molecule: ribosomal RNA, 619 nt
Filed under: uncultured Actinomycetes bacterium
Lineage: Bacteria; Bacillati; Actinomycetota; Actinomycetes
Description: bacterial SSU rRNA
Rfam family: Bacterial small subunit ribosomal RNA
Source: RNAcentral